Molecule: ribosomal RNA, 548 nt
Filed under: Cercospora mikaniicola
Lineage: Eukaryota; Fungi; Ascomycota; Dothideomycetes; Mycosphaerellales; Mycosphaerellaceae
Description: eukaryotic LSU rRNA
Rfam family: 5.8S ribosomal RNA (bases 201-354)
Source: RNAcentral
GGAAGUAAAAGUCGUAACAAGGUCUCCGUAGGUGAACCUGCGGAGGGAUCAUUACUGAGUGAGGGCCUUCGGGCUCGACCUCCAACCCUUUGUGAACACAACUUGUUGCUUCGGGGGCGACCCUGCCGUUUCGACGGCGAGCGCCCCCGGAGGCCUUCAAACACUGCAUCUUUGCGUCGGAGUUUAAGUAAAUUAAACAAAACUUUCAACAACGGAUCUCUUGGUUCUGGCAUCGAUGAAGAACGCAGCGAAAUGCGAUAAGUAAUGUGAAUUGCAGAAUUCAGUGAAUCAUCGAAUCUUUGAACGCACAUUGCGCCCUUUGGUAUUCCGAAGGGCAUGCCUGUUCGAGCGUCAUUUCACCACUCAAGCCUAGCUUGGUAUUGGGCGCCGCGGUGUUCCGCGCGCCUCAAAGUCUCCGGCUGAGCUGUCCGUCUCUAAGCGUUGUGAUUUCAUUAAUCGCUUCGGAGCGCGGGCGGUCGCGGCCGUUAAAUCUUUCACAAGGUUGACCUCGGAUCAGGUAGGGAUACCCGCUGAACUUAAGCAUAUCA